GACGAACGCUGGCGGCGUGCUUAACACAUGCAAGUCGAACGGAAAGGCCCUGCUUGCAGGGUACUCGAGUGGCGAACGGGUGAGUAACACGUGGGUGAUCUGCCCUGCACUUCGGGAUAAGCCUGGGAAACUGGGUCUAAUACCGGAUAGGAGCCAUUUUUAGUGUGAUGGUUGGAAAGUUUUUUCGGUGUAGGAUGAGCUCGCGGCCUAUCAGCUUGUUGGUGGGGUAAUGGCCUACCAAGGCGGCGACGGGUAGCCGGCCUGAGAGGGUGGACGGCCAAAUUGGGACUGAGAUACGGCCCAGACUCCUACGGGGGGCAGAAGUGGGGAAUAUUGAACAAUGGGCGCAAGCCUGAUGCAGCGACGCCGCGUGGGGGAUGACGGCCUUCGGGUUGUAAACUCCUUUCGCUAGGGACGAAGCUUUUUGUGACGGUACCUAGAUAAGAAGCACCGGCUAACUACGUG
RNAcentral lists this ribosomal RNA (465 nucleotides) under uncultured bacterium. RNAcentral describes it as "partial 16S ribosomal RNA". It matches the Rfam family "Bacterial small subunit ribosomal RNA", at positions 28 to 507 of the family's 1533-position model. The record is from RNAcentral.